Molecule: unclassified non-coding RNA, 160 nt
Filed under: soil metagenome
Description: partial internal transcribed spacer 1
Source: RNAcentral
CAGAGUUGCAAGACUCCCUAAGCCAUUGUGAACCUACCUUCUACCGUUGCUUCGGCGGGCGGGCCCAGCGCCCCCCCCGGCCCCCCGCGGGCGCCCGCCGGAGGAUACCCAAACUCUUGACAUUAGUGGCCUCUCUGAGUAUUCUUUACUGAAUAAGUCA